Molecule: ribosomal RNA, 254 nt
Filed under: uncultured bacterium
Lineage: Bacteria
Description: partial 16S ribosomal RNA
Rfam family: Bacterial small subunit ribosomal RNA
Source: RNAcentral
UACGUAGGCAGCGAGCGUUGUUCGGAGUUACUGGGCGUAAAGAGUGCGUAGGCGGUGUUCCAAGUCUGUUGUGAAAUCUCCCGGCUCAACUGGGAGGGUGCGGUCGGAAACUGGGACGCUGGAGUACGGGAGAGGUAAGCGGAAUUCCUGGUGUAGCGGUGAAAUGCGUAGAUAUCAGGAGGAACACCUGCGGUGUAGACGGCUUACUGGACCGUAACUGACGCUGAGGCACGAAAGCGUGGGGAGCGAACAGG